Molecule: long non-coding RNA, 1096 nt
Filed under: Theobroma cacao (cacao)
Lineage: Eukaryota; Viridiplantae; Streptophyta; Magnoliopsida; Malvales; Malvaceae
Description: long non-coding RNA (TCAC_LNC006284)
Source: RNAcentral
UCAAUUCCUCCAUGGAAGCUUGAUGUGAAGCUUUCAUAACUUUCUCUCUUUAGCUCUAAUUUUCAUACCUUGGUGCCCUUUUGACUAGAACCCUUGUAUUCUUCCACUCUUUCACUUUAAAACCCUUGAAAAUGAUAAAAUCUUGUUUCCAUACUCUUUCACUAGUUAGAUGUUUUAGAGAGAGAAAGAGGAAGCUUUAUUAAUAGCUUGAGAGCUUUCGGAAAGAAGUUCAAAGUUACAAAGCUAUCAAGGUGAGUAGUAAAUUAGUAUUGGGUUUUAAAUGUUGAGAAUGACUAGAGAUUUGAUUUGUGAAUAUUUUGUAGUUGAGAUUGUUAAUUCACUUUGGAGUGAUAGGAAAGUGAAAAUGGAUGGCCAUUUAAAUGGCAAUUGAAAGCUAGCUAAAAGGUAGCUUUUAGGGUUUAUAGUAUGUAAAUUGACAUUAUGGAAAUGUUAUUUGAUGGUAGGUGCUAACGAAGCCCCAUCACCCCAAUUAGAUCAUUAAGGGGAUUAAGAGUAGGCUAAAGGCUCAACGAAUACCGGUGAGUGGACUUGCAUUUCAAACUUGUUUUGGGGAAUAUGAAAGAUUCUAUCCAACUUGUCUUAGAAAAGGUACCUUGGGAACAAGCUUUUAGUAAAAUGAUUUUAUAUCGUGAAAAUGUGCUAUACAAUGGUUUAUGUGUUAUCACAAUACGAUAAAAUGCAUGAUAUGCAUUGGAUGCUUCUUUGCAUGUUGAUGUGGACCCGACUAUGUGCGAGUAGAAGUGUACAUAAGCCGUUGCUGACCCGACUAUGUACGAGUAGGAGUGCACAUAAGCCGUUGCUGACCCGGCUAUAUGUGAGUGGGAGUGCACAUAAGCCAUUGCUGACCCGGCUAUAUGCGAGUGGGAGUACGCAUAAGCAGUUGUAUAUGAGAUGAUGAUGAUGGGAGGGUGUACAUGAUGAUUGAUAUAUAUAUAUAUAUACACAUAUAUGGUAUAUGGUUGUAAAUGCAAAUAUGUGAGCAUUUGAUUUGUUGAAAUUUGGGAGUUUACAUGUGUUACAUGUUGCUAUUGUUAUUUUAGCAGGAUGGCUUGUUUUAAAGGAAAAUGAGACUUUU